Long non-coding RNA from Coturnix japonica (Japanese quail), 12722 nucleotides. RefSeq lists it as uncharacterized. NCBI's taxonomy places the organism in Eukaryota, Metazoa, Chordata, Aves, Galliformes, Phasianidae. The record is from RefSeq and is a predicted model, not a curated record.
GCUCAUUGUGAGAAAGCCCCGUUUCUUGGGAUAGCAUCAUGCAAUGAUACAGGUGACCAUAUGACAUUUCAUUAUGGUUUAGUGGAUGAAUCUAUGGGAAAGCUAUUUCAACAAGAACAGCGGAUAUGUGUUUGGAGUAAAAGUUGGGAAGGUUAAUUUUAAGUGAUUCCUGAAAACGGGAUUAUUUUGCACAGGUCUCUAUGAAGUAAUGCACAGUGCAAUUGAAGAGGCACGUUAUGUCAGGCAAGAAAGAAGCUGAAGAGCUAUACUGCCUCGAGAAAGAAAGCCUAUCUACUGUGAAUUACUCUGCUGUUAUUCACCUUCUCCUGGAACCCCUCAGAAUGGCACAGGCACUGUGGAGCAGGAGCUUUUACUUUGAUGCAGCUGAACAACUCCACCCUCAGUGGAAGUCAUUAAGUCCCUGGGCAGCCGGAUCUAAUUGUGGUGUCCCUGUAUGUUGCAGGGGAGUUGCACUAGAUGGCCCUCAGAGGCCCCUUCCAACUCUAAAGGAGUCUAUGAUUUGUAGUCAAGAUGCAGAGUAGAUUGAUCAGUAGAUACAUGGGAACUCACGCUCAUAAGAGCAGCAUCUGCAGAACUGUUAGGCUAUUACCACCUCUAGCCACCGAUAAGUUGUUCAAGUAAGAUAAUCUGACAGACUUUUGCAUGUCAAACUAAAAAAAAUCACACCAACAACAAAUUGAUGGAAUAAAAAUAGGAGUGAAGGAAUUGCCAGAAUGAAAGAUCGUUAGCUAACCAGCACAAGCAUUUGCUUUACUGCAGACCUCAUCCAUAAAGGUGGAAAGGGAACAUCCUGUUCUGCAGUGCUUCAGUGGCCGAUAGUUUAGAGGAAGAAACGUGUGCUUUUGUAAUGGUGUGCUUUGAUGCUGUUAGCAGCAGCAACGACCAAUAAACUUCUGAAUGAUGUUAAAGACAAAUAGUGCCUCAAACCUUGUACACUAUAAACCCAAGAAAACACAGUGAAACAUCCAUUUGUAAUUAGAACAUAUAUCAGAAAAAAAAAAAAAAAAAAAUUAUGCACAGCGUGGCACAAAAGGCCUGAAUUUCCUGUCAUCUACAAUUGAAGUAGCACAUAGUCUCAUUCUUUUCGAGUAUUUCACUGAAUGUGGAUGGUGUCAUGCACAUCAGAGACUUUCUAUGUACAGAUGGAUUAAGAACAAUGAGUCAGCCUCUCUGCUUUAAUAAAAAAGAAACAAACUUAUAAAAACACCCCAGUGAUUUUUAGUAAAUCAGACAAGGUUAUACAAAUAAAAUACUAUAGCCAUGUGAUUUCAGUAAAGCCAACUGCACUUCAAUAGCCACAAUGCAAAGGUGUGAACUGUUCUUUCCCAGUUACUCAUUACCCAAUCUUCAUUAAUCAUAAAAAAUGUUUUUACAUUAUUCUGGAUUCUAUAACUGCAAUCUCCCAAUCAGUGAUUGGCUCACGUGGCCUCGUUUCACCUGCUGUCCCUUCUUCCCUUGCUAAGAUAUUUUGCAAUAUCUUGCAGAUGCUGCAGUUUGAGUGGGCAGCAGGCUGCUGCAGGUGGAAUCUCUUCCAGGCUAAUCUGGAUGUUUCAGGGAGUUUGGUUUUCUUCCCCACAUUUUAUGAUAAUCUUUUUUCACAUUUUAUAAUCAGUGAAGAUGAGUAGAGAAACAAAUAUAUUUCAGUCGUUUCAAGGGCUGAUAAAUAAAACUAAGCAAAUGAAAAACCAAACUCUUCAUGAAAAUUUUUGCCCCAUAAAAGCUUGAGACACAUAGUUAUGGCAACUACAGUGAGCAGCUGAAGUGUAUUCCUCAAAUCCAAUAUGUGAAGUAUAAGAACUUUAAAAUGACUUCUCCCCCCAAAGAUAAGUGCUCUUAUUUGUCAGAAGCAGCAAUGCCACAAGUCCAGCUUCAAAUGCUGCUUAGAAUACCCUGCCUUUUUCCUCCACCACCAGUGUUCUGCUUGCUGCUCUUAAACCUGCAGAUGAAUGGGCACAGAUAGCGUGAUACUUAUCUUAUAGGCAGGAGGUUUAGCAAGCUGCAUUUCAGAGCCCAAAACAAACAGUCCUCUGUGGAUUGGUCAGUAGGACACUAUGGAGUAGAAAGCUAAUUUGCACCUUCCCUGUGUCCCAGUAUAUCAGGCUUUAAGCUUCAUUGAUUACAGUCUAGAGAUGUUAAUCAAGAUUUUUCAUGCCUCAGAGAACAGUACAGCUGCUAAACUUUCUUUAAUAAGUGCUUUAUAGUGGGGAAAUUGUACUAGGAAUUAGCUGAAAAGAAGCAACUUUUUUCUGCCCUAAUUAAGCAGCAGUUCAUUGUAACUCAAGCACUAACAUGAGAAAGAUGUUGGUAUAAGGAAUUUAGCAAAGUCACUGAUUCUGUUCCAGCUGUUGGCUGCACUGUCUCUUGCAGCUUGCUUCAAAUUUAAGAAACCAAAUGCACUGUUAGAAUUCCGAGAAUACUCCUACAUUCCUUAUUGCCCAACAAGUAAAGCAGAUGUAGUCAUCUGUGUCAGACUUACUGACCCCAGCCUUUAUAAAGACACUAUGAAACUUCACUCUUGUAUUUUAAAUGAAAUUUACCUCCCAUUACCUGUAAAAGCUCAUGUUGGCAAUAUCAACAGGAUACUCUUUUACAGGAGACACAAGUGUAACACAAGCAGUGGAACAUGGCCACACUGUGGACCUUCAGUGAAGGAAUUAUUCACCUGACUAUGUUUUACUUUGCAGACCAGUCUUAUAGAAGCAGGUUGCCUUUUAUUAAGGUCAAAUACAUUUAUUAAGGGACACAUUCCCUUACAGAGCUUCUACUGGACUUGAUUAUUUAAAGUCUAGAGAUGAGAGUAAAAAUGUUGGGUUUUUUAUUCAGCACGAAAUCAUCUUCAUUUAUGUUCCUGGAAAUUGAGUAAAAUGCCUUAGACUGACCACCUUUGCUGCCAGACUUUCAUAAAGUACUAUCUCUAUAUGCUGACCUGCAGAAAUGUAUUAGAGAAAAAUAUUUCUGCUUUCAGUGCUGCAUUUACUGUAAACUUGCAUUCUUCCAGGAAAAUUCUGACAGAAAAAUUUAACAUUGGAGAUUUGACUUCAGGCAAAUCUUUUAGCUAUUAUGGUUCCAGUAAUCUUUUUCUGAAAGAAGAAUGCAGCUGAAUUUGACGCCAGGACUGCAGACACAGGAAAAGAGAACUAUGCAAAAUGCUGUAGAAACACAGAAAAGAUUUCCCAUAAGGUCCAGAAGGUCCCACUUUGCAAUCUUUAUUAGGCAGUCCCUGCUUCUGAGCUCACAAUGGAAGCAGUGCCCAAGAUGCUUCUUCCCUACCAAGGCUCCUAUUUCCAUUAUUCAUAAUGCCAUCACACGCACUGUGUGCCAGCAGCACUUCGUCUUCUCUGCAAUGCUGAACUGUGUUACCAGAUUUACUCAAUUCUGACCAAAAAGCAGUAUCUUCUAUUAUUCUGGAUUUUGCUACACACCAUAAACACUCAAUUAAAACUUGCCCAAAUUCUUUGUGACUAAGUCCCAUGUAUCAUUGCCAGGCACAGGCUAAAUGGCACAGUCGAUAGGACCCUUAAGAAUGCUUCCAGGAAAAAAGGUUAAAUGUUAUGUCUGGACAUUAAAAGUUAAAGCAAACAUUCUUAGCAAUCCAUUCAUUCAUUGUCUAUUGUCUGUUUUAUCCCGUUUCCUUGUUAUCAAGCCUUUCCUGUGCAAGUCUAUUCUGCCAUACCAAAGAGGAAGCAUUGUUGAGAAUGUCCAUCUCCACACAGAUAAGGAAGCAGAUUUACAUCCAAGAAACACUUAACACACAUGAAAAGUCACCAUGUUUUGAAUAGGGCAGAAUAGCCAGUAACUUAGAAGUGUGAGGUCUGGUAGAUAGGAGCUAUCAUUCAAAAUGGAGAAAGCAUCUCAUAUAUCAUAUAUAUAUAUCAUCAUAUAUUUUUGAUAAUUGUGUUUUGACUUAGAGAAAAUCUUUUUUUACUGACUUCUGGAUAGCUACUGAAUAAGUGGAGUCAGUAAUAUCAUAGAGGUUCCAUAAUAACACACUGAUGGUAAAAAAGGGCUGCCAAGCACAUUAAUGAAAGUCCACUGCUAUUUUCCUAACUGCACUACUGCACUCUCUCUUAUAUUCUUUCCAUUCUGAAAGUCUUAGACCCGAAAGCUCAAAGCGUUGCUUAUUUGCUGCUUUUCAUGUAACAACUACACUGAUGAGUCAGAAACAUUUUUGCUAACACCUCAUUUAGUUUCACAUGCUGAAAAUGGAAAACAGACAAAAUAAAAGAACAAUUGGAAGAAUAUUCAUGAACAAUUAACUCCUCUUAUUUUACCACAAAAUCCUUGAAAUUCUGCCCUUCCAAUUGCUCACAAACCCAGAUGAGCACACAGCCACACAAGUUCAGCCUGUGUUUACAUGCUUGCAGAUGAGUUCAGUGCUACAUGAUCUUUAUCAGUGUUAUUACAAAUGCCUUUACAGACGUGUCUAUGACACUUCAGAAGCAGCUGAAAUGGACUUUGUGUUGCCAACAGGUUUAUCUUUUACCACUGAAUAACAGAGCAGACAGUGCACUGCUGGUAUUUUUCACAGACUGACAUUUCUUUUUCAAGAGUACUGAUGUGUAAAACAAAGAUAUAAACAAGAUUCAUCUGACUUUCUCCUCCCUCUAAAACAACUGCACUCUUUCCUUGGGGUACAUCUAAAAGCUUAAUAUUGGAAUAAUACAUAUCUCACAGGGAACACAAAUCAUAUGAUAAAUACACUCACAAAAUAUCCCUGGGUAUCCUUACUAUAAUUCUUGUACAUAGAAAUGAAAAUCUUUCACCUUCCCUCACCUAUCUUUACUAAUAAAUGCUAUGCACACAUCAAUAUCAGUAUAUCAUGUGUUGUUCCAGGUACACCACUCAGAUAAAAACAUAUUUCUCACUCUAAGUAGAGAACUGGUUUCAGAGAAAACAAAUAAUCCAGCCCUUACUCUCUGUAGUUUAGGGGCUGUUGUGAAGUGGAGGGCAGAUAGAAGCAGGGCCUGAUGGGGUUCCACACAAGCGCAGCGCAAACUAGGGCUCAUGAUGAUGGAUGCUGACCUGGCUACUGCACAUUGACCAGCUCUGCACUGAGCGAGCAGCCAGGAGUGCGCCUGCCACACUUCUGGGUCCCACAUCCUGUGUUUCAGAAAAGUUUCAGUCAUCUCUAAUAGGUAAACAUUGCCAAAAUAUGUCACAUUUCCAAGGCCUCCCUAAUAAAACUUCAAAAUUCUUACAAACUUUCAAUUUCACUCAGCAUUUUCCUGUAUUUUUAUCAUUCUACAUCAAACACUAUCAUUCACACUCCACUUGAAUGAGAAAUAGAAGGUUAAGGGGAAGAUAACAUCUUUUCCUCUGAAAGUACCUGUUAUUUCCUGUCCUGAAUAACAACAUUUCUUAAUCUGAAUGCUAUAGGAAGCCAAAUCACAAAGUUUUCUUCCAUAUUUCAGAUGUAUUUAAUUAAAUAAUAAACAAUAUCAUUUAUCAUGCAUGUAUUUUCACAUCUGAAAAAAUGACAGAUACUGAAGGCCAAUGUCCCAACUCGGAUAAAUCAAAAUACCAAAUAAUGGACCACUUAAUGAGCCAAUUGGACUCAGAGGUGUGGAACAACCUAUCGCUUGUUCUGCCUAUCAAGUUGCAGGUUUCUUCUGUCUAAAACAGAUGCUGUUUAUUAUGCUGGAAACGAGGGAAAGAAGAACCAGAAGAGAUCAGUAGGAGCAGCAAGCAUUAUCAGGGUUGACAGGGAAGUUAAAAGAAUUUUCUCCCACCAUCUUGUUCAAGAUCUAACUGUUCUAGUAAAAGGACUGACAUCGAGCUCACUCAUUUUGUCCUCAGUGAAAGCACUGAACUUGUACAGUGUUCUCCUAUCUUAACUCUUUCCCACAGUGCACCAGUUUUUAUUUCGGAUGAGUACUUAAAUCAUGUUUGUUUGCUCUACUAUCAGCCACUUUCUCUGGCUGUAAGCACAAUGAAACUCCUGAUCCUCACAAGGAGUAACCAUGAACCCAUUCAUAGUAUUAUGGGUUGCUGGUUUUACUCCACAGUCUCCAAAAGGCAGGAGGAGAGUCCUGCAGCCUGACCUCCAUAGCUGUGCUGCUUGCCAGGGAGCAGGAGGGUAGGAGGAGGAAUGGCUAAGGGAGCCAGGCACGCUUCUUUGUUUUCAGUAAACAUUGCCUGGAAAAUGGCCUGCAUUAUAGCACAGAUUACAGACCAAGAUAGAUAGCAGUUGGCUGUGCUAGAGAAGCUCUCUGAGGGGAAUGACAGAGUUGGCCUCAGGGAGAAUGUGCCACAGAAUCAAGCAGCAGUUGGCACAUGCUGGUCUUGGUGUGGUAGCCUAAGGGUGUAGCAAGAAUAGACAAAUUAAUUACAUCCUCUGCUACCACCCCAACUGUGUGAUGUAUCAAAGCCUCUGUCUUUGUACUGUCAGCUACCCCACUAAAAAUGAUUUUUCAGGGCAUAUAUGCUGUUGUAACUGCAGCUCAUUAACCAAGGCACUAUUUGUGGUGUCUUUGAAAGCAGUUUCCAGCUGUUUGGUAUUCCACUGUAGUGUGGUUGGAACAAGCUACUUCAAAGACAGAUGGAGAAGUCCGCACUAAUUUCAGCACAUAAUACUUCCUUUCUCCAGAUGGAAACAGCCUGACCCAAACCAAUUUGAAUUCAAAGAGCUGUGUGAAAUGCAUUCCUAAGGAAGCCACUGAAAGAGUAGAGCACGUUUGAAACUCUUUUUGUUGAGGAAAUGACCCAGUCUAAAUGGAAGCAGGGGGACAGCAACACUGCAAGUGAAGGACAUGUCCUAAGGCAGAUUCACUCCAUGCAAGAGAGCCUGUAACUGGGAGUGAAAGAAUGUCUGAAAUUGCUGCCACUCAGGUUCAAGAGGAACACCACUUACCUGAAUAUUACCAACUGUUGAAGUGACCGGUUUUCUGAUUCAUUAGAAAGACCAAGUCAUCAUUAAAAAAAAUAUAUCAUUUUAAAUGCAGUCAUCAAGACAAAAGGUAAAACAGAAAAUAUUCUAGUGGAACUAUUAGGAGAUCACAGAAACUUUUAAUGCAGAUUGAAAAUGCCAGUGACCAAAGCCAUGAAGUCAAAGAACAAAUCUCAUUAUCUUUUCAACGUGGAAUUUACUUACACUGUACAAAAGAACAACUAAAGAUCACAUGCAGAUGAUUCUAAACCAGAUAAGUGGAUAACAAAAAGAUAUUAGCAGUACAAGCAUCCCCCCUCUGACUGCAUUCAAGCCCACCUUGAUAUCACCGCUGCCCUGUCUUCAUGACAAGUCACUAUGCCAGAAGUAUUGCAUGGGAAUCCCUUGACAGUAUCUCUUUCUAAACACUUUUUCACCCACUGAGAUAAACAGAAUUCAGUAUGUGAUGGCAUGCCCACCACAGAAGAUAAACUAUGAAGACACAGCAUACUGCUACUGGAGCUUCAACACAAUGCUUCUCCACCCACAGCCAUAGCUUCAUCUCCCAAGCACCCAGCUACUUGUAAUGCCCUCACAGCUACCAAUAUGCAAUCUGAUAGCUUUUACUCUUAUGAAGAAAUAAAAUCCAGUUAAAUCCUUCCUUUUGGAGAACUCAUAUCACAGUGUGCACUCGUAAAAGUGGUGCUAUUUUAUUUAAAUAUUGUGCCUUAGUUAUUGUACAAGCAAUAUAAAUUUUAUUGCAUGUUUUAUUGUUACAUAGCAUUCCUUGCAAUAAAGGCAUCUUAGUCACUUUUUACCCUCCUGAAAAGGACUGCUUUCCUAUAUGACCAGCGUAGCAAUAAGCAUACCUCACUAUGCUUUUUUUCUUUAAUGUAAGAAAGUCCUUUUCAUGCUCCACUACACCUUUUCUUGUUUAUAAAAAACCUGAAGAACUGGUCAGAGGCUGAGGCAUGAACUUAGCAGCUCCCUGUCCUCAGCUCUCCCUUCCACGAGGCCCAUAAAAAGGAAAUGCACUUCCUGACUCUUCCACACUUGCCUUUCCUGGUAAGAACAGCAAUACAAGAGAACAUACCAAAGGAAUAAGGAUGGAUUAAUUUCUUUAAUUAGUGUAUAUAAUCUGUAUGUUCUUUCUCUGUGACAUUUUACAGUUAAUUUUCUAUAAAGUUUUAUUUUUCAACUACAGAUAAUGGAUCCUUAUGGCAGUCAUGGUUUUGGUCCAUCCAGAAUGAUGGCUAAGGGAUAGUACAUGGGUAGAGCCAAUAGAAUUUCAGUAAGUAGUAUAAAAACCAGUGGCCGUCCUGAGUCUGCUUUGAGGCAAUUUUACUGUCUUUACUGCUGGAUUAACAAAAAUCCAUCACCUCAUCCGGAUCAUCAAAAGGAAAUACCUUUAAUAAAAAUCACCACAGAUGCAAGGCUAGACUUGAUAGACUUCAUCAUAAAUUACAUUAACUCUUUACUGCAUUUACAUAGAACUCCUUGCUCAAGUGAGGAAUAAUUUGAUUAAUCCUUUUCUACUGUAAACAACCAAUACACCAGCUCUCCCAAUUACUCUAUCUGUACUAACAGAGUCUACUCAGCAACAGCUGUUCAAACAUUUGUUAAAUCACUUCACAGCAAAUAGGAACGCGGUGCUGCAUGCCUGUUCCUCAUUUCAACUUUACCACAGCAAUACUUCACAUGCACUAAAAACAUAUGCCGAAUGCACAAAUAUCUAUAAAAACUAUUUUCAUCUUAAUUAAAGACAUCUUAGAGGAUACCAGAAAGUUCAAUUGGUAAGAAGCAUCUAAAAAGCUGAGAAAGACAAAUAGAUUCAUUCAUUGUGAAAUAUAAUUCCUAUGAGCACACACAUAGAAUAAGCCCGGCCUUCAGUCUGAUCCAACUGUUUUUAUUUAUUUUUUAAGUAAUGUGGCAGAACAGAGGGCUCUCUUAAGAGAUCCUGAGCAAGCAGGUGGUGAAAAGAAUGCCCAGUUCUAACAGAGGCAUGAAGUGACUUGCAGGAAAAAAAGCAACUAUGAAGCCAGGGAGCCCUUCUGGCUUCCUAAACUUGUCCUCAUCCAGAAUUUCUUAGCACUGCACCUCUUACACAAGAAAAUGUGAAAAUCUUGUCUUAAUUACUGAGCUCUGAAUAAUGAAAGCUUUCUUUCCCUGCACUUCUUCCUUUCCUUCAGGGAGCUUAGCAAGAACUUUACUGAUGAGACAAGUAAACAGGUCCCUAGUUUGCUGAUGCCUGUUUCUGUGCUCAUACUGCAGGUCCUCUAGCCAUAGAAUACUUACUGGAAUUUGUCAAGAAUGAUGUCCUUAGUAACAAAACCUUCACAAAGCUGAUACUGCAAACACACACAGCUCCUUCCAGACACAGGUUUAUUAGAAUGGCAGCCCCUGGAAUCAUUAUCCCUCAGCAAAACGUCAGGAAUCUCAUCACAGUUUUACACAAAGGUGGAAGCUAAAAAGUCCGGCAGCCUGUUUUCUUGUAAAACUGCCUUCUGUCUUGUUGACAAAUGUAAGGAAAAAGUAAAGAUGCCUUCACAAGGCAGAUGUGUUUUGAACAUCACUCAGUGUCUUUGGAGAGUCCAUCCCUACUCAUUUAUCCCUUCAGAUAAAUUUUGUCUUCUUACUAUUAAUUUGUCCUUUACUAUCAAAUUACAGAAAUUCACGAAUUUUUCCACUUUUCACUUUCUCAGAGAGAAAAGCACAAUGCACUGCAUUCACAGAUUUUAUAACUGUAAUAAAAGCCCUGUACAAGACUGAAUUUACUGUCUACAUCAAUUGUAUUUGCCUUCAUCAGUAGCACUCUUUCAGGUGCACUGGCAUACAAGCUACAUAAACAGCACUGUCACUUUGACGAUAAUAAAGCAAUAAGGAACACCUCUUAAACAAGAAACCAAAUUCCCAUAAUUCUCCUUCUCUUCAAAAUCCUUGUGUGUAGCUGACAAGCAGAUGUUUUCUAAUGUCAUGCACAGUAACAGAAUAUAAUGGCACAUUAGUACUGAUGCAGAUACUGUAACAUUUACCUUGCAUUCUAUGCAUUCUCCCUUGACAUGAAAACCAUACAGAAAGUGAAAUAUGGAUCAAUAAAAUAUAGGUAUUGUUAAUAUGGUUUUUGUUUGCAAGAAAAUACUUGCAGAAAAAGCAUAUAUCUUUCAAUAUGAUUUUUUUCCCCAGUAUGGUCUUCCAAAACACAGCACUCAUCUUUCUUGUGCUGGAUAUCCCACUGAACACAGUGAGAUCGCUCUUUUAAGUGCAAUUGCUCUGCUUAGGACCACUCGCCAAAGGUAUCAUAAAAUGUAUGAAAACUGAUAUCUACUAGUUCAAAAAGAAAUACCCCUAAAUGCUUUAAACGCUGACCUGGACUAUACAAAUAUCAGACAGGAACAAAGGAUGCCCUUCUCAAAGAUAUGACCACAGUUUCUCUCAUAAUAGAGGAGAUUCAACAGCUUGACCUCCUUUAAAAGAAAGGAAAAAAAAAACAUACGGCACAUAUAGCUGUAAAGCCAGACCACACUGGACUGGAAAAGUAAUCAGGAAUUACUUCCCAAAAUGUAGAAAGAUGACUUUACUUUGAAAGAUUCAACACUCAGCUCCAAGCAGUCUGAACAAAUAUCUUACUGUGAGCUAGAUCUCAUGCCACCUAAGUGCUGGGAAAGUGACUGGAGAAAAACUCUGUUUUAUCAGAAUGAAGACUUCAGUUCUGAUCACUGCUGCUAAAUUUCAGGGCUGUGCUGAACGAGUUACUAUGGCCAGUUCUGCGAUCAGUGAGGUCCUUAGGAAAAGUUCUACUGCUUCCUCUGGGAGUAGCACGUAAUUAUUAAACUCUCUGCUUCACUACAGAAUUCAGAUAGAUACUAUUCUUAACAGCCUAGGGGAAAAAGAAGAUCUACAGAUAACAGAUUGGAUUGAAUCCCAAAGCAUUAUUAUUGCACUAGUCCAAAAGAAAAGAUCACAUGCAAGAGGGGGGUAUUCAGUGGCUCAAGUACAUAUUCUAAUGAAGAAAAAUGGGGUUUAAUUGCUAUUGAAUAGGGGGGUGAUAGCAAACAAUGCUCACAUUAAAUUAUUUUCUCAAAAUUUAAUGGAUUUUUAAUUUUGUUGACAAGUAAAACUCCUGCUUUCAAAAUCAACAAGACAAUUAGAUGACAAGAUAUGCCAAGCUUCCAGAGCUGAUUCAUGGAAGACAAAGUAGCCCAGGAACCCAGCCCAGCUGUUACGUAAACUUGCGCUCAGUUUGGCUUCUGCAACUUUAAAUGGAAUCUAUAAACUACCAAAGCUCCUCAAAUCAAAAGGAACUCAAGACUAUGUUUCAUAUCUGGAUUUACAAAUUGCAUGUUUCUCCCUGGAUACCUCACCACACCCAUAGAUUAUUUUUAAUGCUUUUCUCGUAAAAAUAAGACUUCUGUUAAAAUAUCGAAGGUUGAAUCACGUUUAAAGACAGAAGGCAAAGGUAGACAGGAGAGCAUUAACCCCACUAAGCCAAGGGUCAUUCUUGGUUUUUUACUGACACUACAUUGGAGAGUUCCUAGCAGAACUCACUGAUGAAACAAUUCCUCUGAGUGACACACGCAUGCUGCACUUACAGGAGGAAAAACUGUACCAGAGUUAUCUAUCCUUGAAUCAAAUCUAGAGAACCAAAUGCCACAAUGGUUCUUUCAUACUGUUCAUGCUUCAUCUACACAUCCAUACUCAUGCUGGAUUUUCCCCUCACAGCGUUCUGUCCUUAAGCUGGAGAACUUAGCAUCUUGUUCAACAUUCCCUGGAUAUUAUCUCAAGUUACAGUAAGAAUAAUAUUUAAAAAGCAAACACUGUUGUGGAAGUUUUCUGGUGAGAGCAUGGCACUGCUAAAGCGUAGGCUCCUGAAAAAGGCUUAAGAACCACUGGAGGUGAAGCCAUGGCUCAUGCACAACACCCUGCAAAUAGAGGUUUACAGUUUCUGUGCGCAUUCCCUGAGAGAUGGACAGGACAAGGAAGUAGAAGUACUGUGUUGGAGUCUUUCAGGAAGCACAUCUGCUAAACCAAGGGCUCUGUCCAACAGAAAACAAAAUCCCUCUGAGAAACAAAGAGCGAUGUAAAGAGAUGAGUGAAAAGGCAGCAUGUCAGCAAAGGAAAGCUCUCCGAGCAGGCGUGUGGGAGUAACCUGCUCAAAUCUGAAUGCGUUGGGCAUUUUUAUGCACUAGAACAUGAGAUAUUAACAGUAUAAGAAUAUUUUACACUGCAUGGAAAGAAAAACUCCAGUUUUGUAACUUCACCGCUUUUAUAACUGCAACAUUUAAGGAAAUGGGAGAUGAGAUGGGCAGCAGGAGAGCAGACUGCUUACCAGGCUUACUGCGUAGAUGGAGACACACACACAAACCUUCAGACACACAAGUUCAACUAUCUUUGCUUUUCCCUCUUUCUUUUUUCUGUUCAUGCUGCUUCUCUCAGCAGAAAGUCACAGAAGGAUUCAAGUACUGAAAUUAACUUUAAAAGUCAUUUGCCAGAUUCCAAAAUGAAUUCAUUAUACAGAUACCCAACAAAAAAAUAAUAAUAAAAACAGCACCAGAGGGGAAAAGUGUAACUGCAAAAUGUGUGUUUUUGAGCAACCGGGCUCUUAUUUCUCAAUGGAAAUCACAGUGACUUCUUUCUUUUGUACCAUUCUAAAAUUAUAAACUAUAUUACUUAUCUAAUGAAAUAAUAAAAAAGUAGACAUGACCCCUUUUAAGACUGCAGUGCCAUAUGUAACCACUUAGUUUGUUAUAGAGCUAUUUCUUCAGUUUACUGUGUGUAUUUUGACUGUAUACAUAACAUAAGAACUAGAUCUCAUGAGUGAUACAGGCUUGUUUCUAUU